AUUGAACGCUGGCGGCAGGCCUAACACAUGCAAGUCGAGCGGAUGAAGGGAGCUUGCUCCUGGAUUCAGCGGCGGACGGGUGAGUAAUGCCUAGGAAUCUGCCUGGUAGUGGGGGAUAACGUCCGGAAACGGGCGCUAAUACCGCAUACGUCCUGAGGGAGAAAGUGGGGGAUCUUCGGACCUCACGCUAUCAGAUGAGCCUAGGUCGGAUUAGCUAGUUGGUGGGGUAAAGGCCUACCAAGGCGACGAUCCGUAACUGGUCUGAGAGGAUGAUCAGUCACACGGGAACUGAGAAAGGGUCCAGCCCCGUACGGGGGGAGGCAGGGGGAAAUUUUGGACAAGGGGCAAAAGCUUGAUACAGCCGGGCGGCGUGUGGGAAGAGGGUCUUUGAAUUGUAAAACUUUUUAAGUGGGGGGGAAGGGAAGUAAGUUAAUACCUUCUUGUUUGGACUUUCCAAAAAAAAAAACCCCGGGCAAUCUUCGUC
Molecule: ribosomal RNA, 484 nt
Filed under: uncultured bacterium
Lineage: Bacteria
Description: partial 16S ribosomal RNA
Rfam family: Bacterial small subunit ribosomal RNA
Source: RNAcentral